RNAcentral lists this ribosomal RNA (420 nucleotides) under Cytophaga sp. A23. Its description in RNAcentral is "bacterial SSU rRNA". It matches the Rfam family "Bacterial small subunit ribosomal RNA", at positions 28 to 440 of the family's 1533-position model. Lineage: Bacteria; Pseudomonadati; Bacteroidota; Cytophagia; Cytophagales; Cytophagaceae. The record is from RNAcentral.
GAUGAACGCUAGCGGCAGGCCUAACACAUGCAAGUCGAACGGCAGCGGGAAGGAGCUUGCUCCUUUGCCGGCGAGUGGCGCACGGGUGCGUAACGCGUAUACAACCUACCUUAUACAGGGGUAUAGCCCAGGGAAACUUGGAUUAACACCCCAUAGUAAUAUGUUUUGGCAUCAUUACAUAUUUAAAACUACGGUGGUAUAAGAUGGGUAUGCGUCCCAUUAGCUUGUUGGUGUGGUAACGGCACACCAAGGCAACGAUGGGUAGGGGCCCUGAGAGGGGGAUCCCCCACACUGGUACUGAGACACGGACCAGACUCCUACGGGAGGCAGCAGUGAGGAAUAUUGGACAAUGGGCGGGAGCCUGAUCCAGCCAUGCCGCGUGCAGGAAGACUGCCCUAUGGGUUGUAAACUGCUUUUAUA